GCGGCGGCAGCGUCCAGAAGCGGGAGCCGCAGCCGAGCGAGCCGUUGCCGAGUGGCUAGCGGCGCCAUGGCGUGCGCGGGGCUGCUCACCGUGUGCCUGAUCCGGCCGCCCGCGCCCGAGCCCCGGCGGCCCCCCGCGCCCCUGCCUGCCGCCGCCGGGCCCGCCGGACACGCGCUCUUCCAGGACGUUUUCCGCAGAGCAGACAAGAAUGAUGAUGGUAAGCUCUCAUUUGAGGAAUUCCAGAAUUACUUUGCUGAUGGGGUUCUCAGCCCUGGGGAGCUGCGGGAGCUGUUCAACGGCAUUGAUGGGCACUCCACCAACAAUUUGGAAACAGAGAGACUGUGUGACUAUUUCUCAGAACACCUGGGUGUCUACCGGCCCGUGCUGGCUGCCCUGGAGUCGCUGAACUGUGCAGUGCUCACUGCCAUGGACACCACCAAGCUGGAGUAUGAGCGGGCCUCCAAGGUGGACCAGUUUGUGACGCGCUUCCUCCUGCGGGAGACGGUGAGCCAGCUACAAGCCCUGCAGAGCUCGUUGGAAGGGGCAUCAGAUACCCUGGAGGCCCAGGCCCGGGGCCCACGGUCAGACGAAGACAGUGUGGGGGUGCAGAGCAGGCCCCACGGCAGUCGGCGGGUAGGGCGCAGGGCCCUGCGGAGCAUCGGUCGGUCACCCACCUGGUCUCCUGGCUCCUCCGCCUCAGACACAGGGCAGAGCUCGGGAGCCGAGAUGCGGUGGCGGCUCCAGGUCAACCGUCUCCAGGAGCUCAUUGACCAGCUCGAGUGUAAGGCCCCCAGGCUGGAACCUCUGCACGAAGAGGAGCUUACCAAGGGGCCUGACUCGGUGGCCUCUCUUGCUAGCACAUCCUCGUGGCCCAGAGGGAGGUGCAGGUGGCGGAGGAAGCCCUGCAGGAUUUCCACCGUGCCCUGUGCUGCUACGUGGACUUCACAGGGGCCCAGAGCCAUUGCCUGCAUGUGUCUGCCCAGAAGAUGCUAGACAAUGCCUCUUUCACCCUGUAUGAGUUCUGGCAGGAUGAGGCCUCCUGGAGAAGGCACCAGCAUUCUGCCUGUAGUAAGGCCUUCCAGCGCAUCCUCAUUGACUACCUUCGGGCUCCGGACACCCUCACCACUGUGUUCUUCCCAGCCUCCUGGUGGAUUAUGAAUAAUAACUGAGCCUGACCUGCAUAAGCCAAGGCCCUGGGGCCCUACCUGCCUCAUUCUGGAGCUUCUGGACUGGUCAACUCAGCACCAAGACCAAGGACGUGGCCACUCUUAGACCUGGGGCUGGGCUCUCAGAGGUGCCCCCCGCCCCCCCUCCCCCCGACCCAGCCGGUGGAGAGUCCCUCAGCCCAGGGAUCAGGGACUGGGCUGCUUGCUUUCUGUUUAUCAGUGUAUUCUAUUUGAAUCUUUAGCCUCUGAGGCACUCUGGCCUCUGCCUGGCUCAGGAGGCUUGGAUUCUGGUCCCCUUCUGUCCCAGCCUUGUUGUGGGACACAGAGCAGGUCGCUUCCCUCUCUGGGUGGGCCUUGGGCUGUCUGGCUGCCUAGUGGGUACCCUGCUUUCUUCCUGCUGCCUUGGGGCCAGGCUUCUGCUCUUCCUCAACCAGCCGCAGAACCAGGGCUGAUGCUCAGGGACACCACCCCCCCACCAAACCUCGACCCCUGAGGCUGGGCCGGAUCCGUCUGCAGUGUGGGGUAAGGACCUGGGUGUCCCCAUCACCCUCCUGGGCUGGCAGGCUCCCAACUCUUCCAGCACCUUCCGCUGCACCAGAGCCUUCUGCAGGAUCCUGGUUGGUUUGCAUGUCAUUUGCAUAUCAUUUGCAUGCUCAUGCCCACCCGUACUCAGGGCACUAUGGGAAGUCCCAAGGUGACCUUGCCAAGUAGCAAUAAUUUGGGCCCAGUGUCACCUGCUCCCCCUGAGAUACCUCUGAGCCCCAGCCCAGGACCCCAGCCCAAAGGCAAUAAAGGAAGUGGUCACCUCUGGUGGUGUGUCCUCUCUCUCCCUCGGCAGGAAGGCCAGGCUUUGGGGUUGGUUUGUAUAUCACACCAGCCACUCAGGGCUGGCAGCCUUUC
Non-coding RNA from Callorhinus ursinus (northern fur seal), 2066 nucleotides. The record is from RefSeq and is a predicted model, not a curated record. Lineage: Eukaryota; Metazoa; Chordata; Mammalia; Carnivora; Otariidae.